GGAGUCGGCCAGGCAAUCGCUGCCCGUCAUUAGAUGGGGGGAGGAAAGUCCGGGCUCCAUAGGGUAGAACGCCAGGUAACGCCUGGGGGGCGCGAGCCUACGGAAAGUGCAGCAGAGAGUAGACCGCCUAAGUUUUCUUCGGAAAACCGGUAAGGGUGAAAGGGUGCGGUAAGAGCGCACCGCGCAACGGGUAACCGUUUGCGGCAUGGUAAACCCCGUUCGGAGCAAGACCAAAUAGGCCCACUACAGGUGUGACCCGCACUGUGGGCGGGUAGGUUGCUGGAGGUGUGUGGUGACGCACGCCCUAGAGGAAUGAUUGCCCACGACAGAACCCGGCUUAUCGGCCGGCUCCCCAG
RNAcentral lists this RNase P RNA (356 nucleotides) under bacterium SCSIO 12696. RNAcentral describes it as "RNase P RNA component class A". It matches the Rfam family "Bacterial RNase P class A". Rfam says of the family: Ribonuclease P (RNase P) is a ubiquitous endoribonuclease, found in archaea, bacteria and eukarya as well as chloroplasts and mitochondria. Its best characterised activity is the generation of mature 5'-ends of tRNAs by cleaving the 5'-leader elements of precursor-tRNAs. Cellular RNase Ps are ribonucleoproteins. The record is from RNAcentral.